UACAGAGGUCUCAAGCGUUGUUCGGAUUCAUUGGGCGUAAAGGGUGUGUAGGCGGCGCGGUUAGUCGGGUGUGAAAUCUUGGAGCUUAACUCCGAAACUGCAUUCGAUACUGCCGUGCUUGAGGACUGGAGAGGAGACUGGAAUUUACGGUGUAGCGGUGAAAUGCGUAGAUAUCGUAAGGAAGACCAGUGGCGAAGGCGGGUCUCUGGACAGUUCCUGACGCUGAGGCACGAAGGCCAGGGGAGCAAACGGG
RNAcentral lists this ribosomal RNA (253 nucleotides) under uncultured bacterium. Its description in RNAcentral is "partial 16S ribosomal RNA". It matches the Rfam family "Bacterial small subunit ribosomal RNA", at positions 524 to 776 of the family's 1533-position model. The record is from RNAcentral.